CCUUGGCCGGCUGGAAUGUCACAGAAACCAAUGUCAAAUAAAUACAGGGCUUGCACUCCAUGUUGCAAAAAUAAGCAUGUCCAUUUGCUUGAAAGAAAAAAAAAAAAGUCUUUCAGAUGAGGGAACAUUUUCCAGUCAAUCACACAGCAGCAAAGUCAUCCUGUUGAAUUUGUGACUCACAGGCUCUCUGUGUCAAUAGACAGAGAGUGAGCCCAGCGUUAUGACUUCAGUGGGAGAUGAAGCAGAAGCUGGGAUGAGGCAGGGCUGGCUUUAAAGCAGAGCCCUGGGCUCUGACAAUAAAUAGCGGAGGAAAGUCUGACCACUCACAGGGAGCUCUUGAGGGAGGCCACCCUGGUCCGAAGUGCAUCUUACUUCUAACGUCUGCGUGGGCUCUAGCAAAGGAUCUAGCGGAAAAUACGGUUCAGGGAGUGUGUGAAGCCUGGGCCAACGCAGAGAACGAAGAGAAGACGUGGAGGAAGGACAUGGACUUUUGGCCUCGUAUCCACGCCUGCACCAAAGCCCAGACACCAGGUCUAUGUGGCUGUGUCUAACCAGCAGAUUUCUGUCCAAAGUUACACAAAGCUGAUGUUGCUGAAACUUACAGGUUUCUAUGACCGGAGCCUCUUGUGCCAGUUGCUACCUAUACCUUGGCCUUGGCUCCCAUCUGCUCUUUGGCUAAAAUGCCUGGAUUUGUGCCCAGUUGUAGAUUUCUGUCUCCACCUACUUAAGACUUACGGUCUUGAAGGCAUCUUCAGAGCCAACUGCCACAACAUUUCAGGGUAAGGUUUGUUUUUUCUUUUUAAAUUAAAAAAAAAAAAGAAUAUAUAUAUAUAGGGUCUUCCCUGGUAGCUCAGUGGUAAAGAAUCCACCUGCUGAUGCAGGAGAC
Bos indicus x Bos taurus (hybrid cattle) is the source of this 886-nucleotide long non-coding RNA. Lineage: Eukaryota; Metazoa; Chordata; Mammalia; Artiodactyla; Bovidae. The record is from Ensembl.